Molecule: long non-coding RNA, 3696 nt
Filed under: Ananas comosus (pineapple)
Lineage: Eukaryota; Viridiplantae; Streptophyta; Magnoliopsida; Poales; Bromeliaceae
Description: long non-coding RNA (ACOM_LNC017507)
Source: RNAcentral
UUUUUUUAUUUUUAAAAAUCUAUAUUUGUCUCCUAAAAAUUUUAAAAAUAUUUUUCAGAGGGGUACGGCGUUAAUGUAGAGGGCAAAAUAACCAAAUUAUGAAAGAAAAAUUAUUUUUUAAUACAUUUUCGUCAUUUUAAAAGAAAUUUUUAGUAUAAAUUAUAAAAAAUGAUCGGAAAAGUGAUGGAACACUGAAGGAGGGGAGCUAAAUGCAAUAACUUAAAAUGUUGAGAGGGUAAAAUAUAGAUUUUUGAAAGUUAGAAAGAGAAAAUUUAAAAAAAAAGUAUUUAUAAGGAGUUUUCCAUAAUUUAGUCUUUCGAUAUGGAGUUGAGUUGCUAUGCUUUUAAAAGGCGAUUUUUAGUGCAAUAACCCUCCCCUAAAAUUUUAUUUUAAAAAUAGACCCGUUAAAUUUUAAUUUGUAAAUAUGGUCCUAUAAAAGCGGUGAAUCAUUCACCGCUUUCUUUCUCUUUCUCACUUUUUUCUAUAUUUCUACGAUGGUAAAAGCGGUGAAUGGUUCACCGCUUUUAUUCUUUUUCUACUUCUAGAGAAGAGUUAUGAAUGCGGUGAAUCAUUCAUCGCAUUUAGAGGUCUAUUUUAUAAUUAUUUUUUAAAAAAAAUUAUUUUUACAAUUAUAAAAAUCAAUAGGAUUAUUUAUAAAAAAAAUUCUUUUAAAAGCACAAAAACAUCCAUGCUUAUAAUUUUUUAACCGUUGAAUCGUCUCAGGAUUCGUACAGUACUAGUAAAAAAAAAAAAUCUUAAUAGGAUACACAAUUAAUAGUACUAUAAAAAUUUUGAGUCAAUUCGACGAUUAAAAUCACAAGCACAGAUAUUUUUAGUUUAAAAGUACACUAGUGUAGUUACCCGCACGAUGCGACGAGUAGAUAUUAUCAAAAUAAUUAUUUUUUUUAGUCAUUGUUGAUCGUCGAUAAUAUUUUGGAGAAAUAAGUCUAAAAUAUACAGUUCAUCAAAUACAUAGAAAAUAAUACUCUAAAUAUGAAAUGAAGAACAUUAGUUUAAAUAGUUCGCAAGAAUUGGUAAAAAACUACUAAAAAUAAUUUUUUAUAUGUAUUCACUCAACAAUCUAUACAAUUAAACUCAAAGUGAAGAAAGUGAUUAAACUAUAAAAAAAAGAUAAAUACACGUCUACAAGAUAUAAAAUCUUUAGAAUUAAACAGUAUACAGGAAACAUAAAUAACGUAAACAAUCGUACAUACAAAUAAAUCACAGAAUAUGUCCAAAAUUUAUGGGUUCUCCCUUGUAUAGAGGAGCAAUAAGGGUACCAAAAUUCUAAGAUCCUCCUUGUCGAUGAUGUUGAACCUCUGGCGAAAAUACUUGUGAAGAACCUCCCAAACGACAUUGGACACCUUGUUCCCCACCUCAAGGAUCUGAUCUAUAGAGUCGAAAAUUAGAUCGAUCAAAGACAAAAUCAAUAGAAAAUAAUGCAAAACCCUACCAAUUCGAGGCGAUUUUGAACCGUGGGCAAGAUUUGCCAAAACUUCUUGAGCAUACGUAGAGAGAGAGAUUAGUGACGGAUAAAUAUUACUAAUAAUUCAAUAGAGAUGAGACAAUUAUAUUAACUCAAUAGAGAUGAGACAAUUAUAUUAACAAAAUCUCUAAAACACAAAAAAAAAAGAAUAUUAGUAAUUUAGCAAAGUUUUUAUCAAGAGUCUUGAUGAACUGGUUCAAAGUGGGGAGCACCUUCAACCUCUGCUUGAGAAUUCUACUCUGUCACUAGAUGCGCACCACCUUCAGCACUUCACGAAGCAAAUGAAGUCCCUCUUCAGCUAGAGAGCUCUGCCGAUCCCGAAGAGGAUCAUUCCAUGACACCACUUUGAGUAUAGCUUUGGAGGGUACAGAAGAGGCAGAAAUCCUAAAAGGAGUGUGAGAGAUAAAGAAGAGAGGGUUUAUAAAAAACGUGUGGAAAAAGUACCAACAAAUCUCGUAUGGUCUCGACCAUUGAAUAUAUUGAUGAGGAAAUGAUCGGUUUAUGUCGAUCGUUCGAUUGAAGAUUGUAAGGGUUUGGAUUAAAUUGAUGUGUGGUGUCUCUUUUGCAAAGACUCGUAGUGGUUAGGGAAGAAUGGGGAGUUACAGAAAAGGGGGAAGACGGAGGGACGCAGGAAGAAGAAAGGAAAAGGGAUGACACAUGAGUUAUAUAGAUGGUUGUGGAGAAGAAUGAGGAGUUAUACAGAGGAGGAAAAUGAAGUGACACAGGGAGGGAAAGAGAAGACGGAGUCACGGGAGUUACAUAGAGAGAGAGGGUAAGCGAGCCAUCUAAAUGAGAAAAAAAAAACUCUUAAAACAAGGAUGUUGCGCCACGUCAGCAAAAUUAUUGGGAAAUAAUAUAUGUUUAUAGAUUUAUAGAUUAUUGGGAAAUAAUAUAUGUUUAUAGAUGUUGCGCCAUGUCAGCAAAAUUAUUGAGAAAUAAUAUAUGUUUAAAGAUGAGCACAAUUCAUAUCUAAUAUUGCCCUUCAAAACUUUCAAAAUAUCUAACAUAUAUCUAUUAAUCAAAAUACCUUUAUUAAUUUUCAAAAGUUUCUUCAAAAAUCCAAACAUCUGAGAUUUAGUAAUGGAAAUUGGGAUUUAGAAGGGUACUUAGAUAAUUUUAGGUUAAAUUUGAAAAUUUUGAAUAGUAGCCAAGAGUAAAUAAGCAAAAUCCUUCUUUUUUGGUAUAAAAUUACAGAACUUAUUUAUACUAUGGAUCAUUUUGAUUCGACAAUUCAAUCUGUGAAAAUUUUAACUUUACUACCCAACUUUUCGAUUUAUUUGAUUUCAGUUGUCAACGACACUUUGACCUUAAAAUUUAAACGCAUUUUGUAGAUUUAGUUAGUAUAAUUCAUGUAACUUGCGCUACUAUACAUUUAUUAAAAUAAAUAAUAGCUUAGAUUUUUAAGAGAAUUAUACGAAUUAUUCUGUGUCGUUAGAUAUAUUUAGUUAGUACAAUCCAAUCUUUUUCUUUUUUUUUUUUCUUUUCUUUCACUAUACGCAUUCUUUUCUGCUACUGCACCCCUCCCUUGCCCUUUGCCACAACUGCCGCCCCUAUCCAGACGUGCUCUCUCUCUCUCACCGUCGUCCUCAAAUACCGCAACACCCUCAUCACCGUCACUAUCACUGUCGUUGCCACCGCUCAUGGCUACGCCCUCCACCAAAGUCUCACCUCAACAAUCUAUACUGCAUUAACUCCGGCGUCGGCGGAGGUGUGGGCAAAAUAGGAGAGAGAAGCACGGCAUUAACAUGGAGGUGGUGGAGGAGGGAAGGGAAGUGGGAGGAGAAAGAGAAAAAGGAACAGCGAAGAGGCAAGAGAAAAACGAAUUACAGAGAAAGGCAAGAAAAAGAGGAAUAAAUAUAUUUUGGUUAGUUUACUAAAAUUCAAUUCUAAUUUGCAAAACUUAAAAAAAUGAUAUAUUUUUGCAGAAAUGCAAGACCAAAAAAAUGAUAUAUUUUUGCAGAAACGCAAGACCAGUGACUUCUUUAUGCAAAUUGGCCAGUUAUUACUAAAUUAUUUAUCUNGAAAUGUGAAUCAACUAUGAUUCGAACUUGGGACCUCAGUACCAACCAUCAAGCCUUUCGCCACUUGCUCUAGGGAUGGUCGGUGAGAAGAGUUAUGAAUGCGGUGAAUCAUUCACCGCAUUUAGAGGUCUAUUUUUAUAAUUAUUUUUUAAAAAAAUUUAUUUUUACAAUUAUAAAAAUUGAUAGGAU